GAGUUUGAUUCUGGCUCAGAGUGAACGCUGGCGGCGUGCCUAAUACAUGCAAGUCGAACGGAGAUUAAAGUAAGCUUGCUUAUUUUAAUUCUUAGUGGCGCACGGGUGAGUAAUGUAUAGCUAAUCUGCCCUACACUAGAGGACAACAGUUGGAAACGACUGCUAAUACUCUAUACUCCUUCUUUACAUAAGUUAAGUCGGGAAAGUUUUUCGGUGUAGGAUGAGGCUAUAUCGUAUCAGCUAGUUGGUGAGGUAACGGCUCACCAAGGCUAUGACGCGUAACUGGUCUGAGAGGAUGAUCAGUCACACUGGAACUGAGACACGGUCCAGACUCCUACGGGAGGCAGCAGUAGGGAAUAUUGCUCAAUGGGGGAAACCCUGAAGCAGCAACGCCGCGUGGAGGAUGACACUUUUCGGAGCGUAAACUCCUUUUCUUGGGAAAGAAUUAUGACGNACCCCAGGA
Molecule: ribosomal RNA, 463 nt
Filed under: Campylobacter sp. canine oral taxon 011
Lineage: Bacteria; Pseudomonadati; Campylobacterota; Epsilonproteobacteria; Campylobacterales; Campylobacteraceae
Description: bacterial SSU rRNA
Rfam family: Bacterial small subunit ribosomal RNA
Source: RNAcentral